RNAcentral lists this ribosomal RNA (492 nucleotides) under uncultured bacterium. RNAcentral describes it as "partial 16S ribosomal RNA". It matches the Rfam family "Bacterial small subunit ribosomal RNA", at positions 29 to 507 of the family's 1533-position model. The record is from RNAcentral.
AGUGAACGCUGGCGGUAGGCCUAACACAUGCAAGUCGAACGGCAGCACAGUAUGCGCUCGCUCUUACGGGUGGCGAGUGGCGGAUGGGUGAGGAAUACAUCGGCAUCUACUUUUUCGUGGGGGACAACGUAGGGAAACUUACGCUAAUACCGCAUACGACCUACGGGUGAAAGCAGGGGAUCUUCGGACCUUGCGCGUUUGAAUGAGCCGAUGUCGGAUUAGCUAGUUGGCGGGGUAAAGGCCCACCAAGGCGACGAUCCGUAGCUGGUCUGAGAGGAUGAUCAGCCACACUGGAACUGAGACACGGUCCAGACUCCUACGGGAGGCAGCAGUGGGGAAUAUUGGACAAUGGGCGCAAGCCUGAUCCAGCCAUGCCGCGUGAGUGAAGAAGGCCUUCGGGUUGUAAAGCCCUUUUGUUGGGAAAGAAAAGCAGCAGGUUAAUACCCCGCUGUUCUGACGGUACCCAAAGAAUAAGCACCGGCUAACUUCGUG